GAGUAAUGCUUAGGAAUCUGCCUAUUAGUGGGGGACAACGUUCCGAAAGGAGCGCUAAUACCGCAUACGUCCUACGGGAGAAAGCAGGGGACCUUCGGGCCUUGCGCUAAUAGAUGAGCCUAAGUCGGAUUAGCUAGUUGGUAGGGUAAAGGCCUACCAAGGCGACGAUCUGUAGCGGGUCUGAGAGGAUGAUCCGCCACACUGGGACUGAGACACGGCCCAGACUCCUACGGGAGGCAGCAGUGGGGAAUAUUGGACAAUGGGGGGAACCCUGAUCCAGCCAUGCCGCGUGUGUGAAGAAGGCCUUUUGGUUGUAAAGCACUUUAAGCGAGGAGGAGGCUACCUAGAUUAAUACUUUAGGAUAGUGGACGUUACUCGCAGAAUAAGCACCGGCUAACUCUGUGCCAGCAGCCGCGGUAAUACAGAGGGUGCGAGCGUUAAUCGGAUUUACUGGGCGUAAAGCGUGCGUAGGCGGCCAAUUAAGUCA
RNAcentral lists this ribosomal RNA (487 nucleotides) under Acinetobacter radioresistens. Its description in RNAcentral is "bacterial SSU rRNA". It matches the Rfam family "Bacterial small subunit ribosomal RNA", at positions 108 to 590 of the family's 1533-position model. Lineage: Bacteria; Pseudomonadati; Pseudomonadota; Gammaproteobacteria; Moraxellales; Moraxellaceae. The record is from RNAcentral.